AAUGGGAAAUUCGUCCAAGCCUCGAGCUGUAGAAGCGCGUAGGGAAGGCCGCGCGCGGAGGUAAGGGGUGAAGGGGAGUCCAUCGAAGGGUGGGCAACGGAGCUGAGUUCACACUGUCAAGAAAAGCCGCGCGUACCGGCGAACGGAAGCCUGACCGUUCUAAAAACCGACACAGGUAGGCUAGUUGAGAAGACUAAGGGGAGCGGGAGAACCUCCGCUAAGGAACUAGGCAAAAUGGCUCCGUAACUUCGGGAGAAGGGGCGCUCCUGCGGGUUAAGAGCUAGCGGGAGCUGCAAAGACCAGGCUCUGGCGACUGUUUACCAAAAACACAGGACUCUGCGAACACGAUGAGUGGACGUAUAGGGUCUGACGCCUGCCCAGUGCUGGAAGGUUAAGGGGAGUGGUCAGCGCGAGCGAAGCUACGAACCGAAGCCCCAGUAAACGGCGGCCGUAACUAUAACGGUCCUAAGGUAGCGAAAUUCCUUGUCGGGCAAGUUCCGACCUGCAUGAAUGGCGUAACGAUCGGAGCACUGUCUCAGCGGAGGGCCCGGUGAAAUUCCAAUCUUGGUGAAGAUGCCAAGUUACCCGCGAUUAGACGGCAAGACCCCAUGAAGCUUUACUGUAUCCUAAUAUGGUAUAGUGGUGGAAGGCGUACAGGAUAGGUGGGAGGCAGCGAACGCAGCGCGUCAGCGCUGCGGGAGCCGACGGUGGGAUACCACCCUCCUUCCAGCGUUAUACUAACCGAGGUAGGUGGAGAGCCUAUCAGGGACAGUGUUAGGGGGGCAGUUUGACUGGGGCGGUCGCCUCCAAAAAGGCAACGGAGGCGCGCGAAGGUGGGCUCAGGCUGGUUGGGAAUCAGCUGGCGGGUGCAAGGGCAAAAGCCCGCCUGACAGUGAGAGAGACAUCUCGAGCUGAGACGAAAGUCGGUCCUAAUGACCAGGUGGUGCUGUGUGGAAAGGCCAUCGCUCAACGGACAAAAGCUACUCUGGGGAUAACAGGCUGAUACCGUCCGAGAGUCCAUAUCGACGACGGUGUUUGGCACCUCGAUGUCGGCUCAUCGCAUCCUGGGGCUGUAGUCGGUCCCAAGGGUUGGGCUGUCCGCCCAUUAAAGCGGUACGUGAGCUGGGUUCAGAACGUCGUAAGACAGUUCGGUCCCUAUCUGUCGCGGGCGCAGUAUACUUGAGAAGGCUUCUCCCCAGUACGAGAGGACCGGGAGGAGUGGACCGCUGGUGAACCAGUUGUGCUACCAAGCGCAUAAGCUGGGUAUCUAAGUCCAUGAGUGAUAAGCGCUGAAAGCAUCUAAGCGCGAAACAUGCUUCAAGAUGAGGUAUCCCAUCGAAAGAGUAAGGGCCGUUCGAGAACAGGACGUAGAUAGGCCGCAGGUGGAAGCGGUGCGAGCCGUGCAGCCGAGCGGUACUAAUCGCCCGAGGCCUUGACCUA
RNAcentral lists this ribosomal RNA (1440 nucleotides) under metagenome. Its description in RNAcentral is "bacterial LSU rRNA". It matches the Rfam family "Bacterial large subunit ribosomal RNA", at positions 1497 to 2925 of the family's 2925-position model. The record is from RNAcentral.